CAAAAAGUAGCUUACAUAAAGCAUCUGGCUUACAACCAGAAGUAGSGUUGUUUAUCAACCAUUUUG
This 66-nucleotide transfer RNA is filed under the name Gymnophthalmus speciosus. RNAcentral describes it as "tRNA-Val". The record is from RNAcentral. Lineage: Eukaryota; Metazoa; Chordata; Lepidosauria; Squamata; Gymnophthalmidae.